UACGGAAGGGGCAAGCGUUGUUCGGAAUCAUUGGGCGUAAAGGGCGUGUAGGCGGUCUCAUGUGUCCGCUGUGAAAGAACACGGCUCAACCGUGUGGAGCGGCGGAAACUGUGGGACUUGAGGCUGGGAGGGGCUGGUGGAAUUCCCUGUGUAGCGGUGAAAUGCGUAGAGAUGUGGAGGAACACCGAUGGCGAAGGCAGCCCCCUGGGCUAACACUGACGCUCAGGCACGAAAGCGUGGGGAGCAAACAGG
RNAcentral lists this ribosomal RNA (252 nucleotides) under uncultured bacterium. Its description in RNAcentral is "partial 16S ribosomal RNA". It matches the Rfam family "Bacterial small subunit ribosomal RNA", at positions 524 to 776 of the family's 1533-position model. The record is from RNAcentral.